RNAcentral lists this ribosomal RNA (939 nucleotides) under uncultured eukaryote. RNAcentral describes it as "bacterial SSU rRNA". It matches the Rfam family "Eukaryotic small subunit ribosomal RNA", at positions 391 to 1473 of the family's 1831-position model. The record is from RNAcentral.
GGCGCCUGAGAGAUAGCGACUAUGUCCACGGGCAGCAGCAGGCGCGAAACUUACCCACUCGAGACUUUCGGAGGUGGUAAUGACCAGUUCUAUCUUCGGCCACUAGGCUGGGAUGGGUAGGAUGUCGCUUUUCCAGCGGCGUGAAAUCUAGCAGAGGGCCAGUCUGGUGCCAGCAGCUGCGGUAAUUCCAGCUCUGCAAGUUUGCUCCCAUAUUGUUGCAGUUAAAACGCCCGUAGUCUGAAUUGGCUCUCGAAAGAGACCUUAUUCCUUUUAAAGGAGUUCACUGUGAACAAAUCAGGACGCUUAGUGUAUUUUUAUUAAUGAAUGACUCAGCGCAGUAUGAAAUAUUUACCUUAUGGUAAGCUCAAAGAGAGCCAUCGGGGGUAGAUCUAUUCCAUGGCGAGCGGUGGAAUGCUCUGACCCAUGUGGAGAGAAACGAAAGCGAAGGCAUCUACCUAGAGGGUUUCUGUCGAUCAAGGGCGAGAGUAGGAGUAUCCAACCGGAUCAGAGACCCGGGUAGUUCCUACUGUAAACGAUGCCGACAGGGGCUUGUCAUGAUUAAAAAUGGCAGGACCUUAGGAGAAAUCAUAGUUCUUGGGCUCUGGGGGAACUACGACCACAAGGCUGAAACUUGAAGGAAUUGACGGAAGGGCACACCAGGGGUGGAGCCUGUGGCUUAAUUUGAAUCAACACGGGGAAACUUACCAGAACCAGAUAUUUUUUAUGACUGACAGGCUGUGGGUCUUUCAGGAUAUGAUUUUUGGUGGUGCAUGGCCGUUGGUGGUGCGUGGGUUGACCUGUCUAGCGUUGAUUCAGCUAACGAGCGAGAUUAUCGCCAAUUACAUAGAUCUAGACUGCUUUCAAGUCUGAUCUUCUAAUUGGGACUCCCGGCGAUUAAGCUGGAGGAAGAGGGUAGCAAUAACAGGUCCGUGAUGCCCU